GGGAAUGUAAUGGGCGAAGCCUGAUCAGCGACGCCGCGUGAGUGAAGAAGGCCUGCGGGUUGUAAAGCUUUUUAGUGGGGAAGAAAAGCAUCGAGUUAAUACCUCAGGGUCUUGACGUAACCCAUACAAGAACCACCGGCUAACUCUGGGCCAGCAGCCGGGGUAAUACAAAGGGUGCGAGCGUUAAUCGGAAUACGGGGCGUAAAGCGUGU
This 212-nucleotide ribosomal RNA is filed under the name uncultured bacterium. RNAcentral describes it as "partial 16S ribosomal RNA". It matches the Rfam family "Bacterial small subunit ribosomal RNA", at positions 357 to 570 of the family's 1533-position model. The record is from RNAcentral.